AACACGUGAGUUACAUGCCCUGCAGUGGGGAAUAGCCCGCCGAAAGGCGGAUUAAUACCCCAUGGUCCCGCAAGGGUAAAGGUGGCGCAAGCUGCCGCUGCAGGAUUGGCUCGCGGCCUAUCAGCUUGUUGGUGAGGUAACGGCUCACCAAGGCAACGACGGGUACCUGGUCUGAGAGGAUGAUCAGGCACACUGGAACUGAGACACGGUCCAGACACCUACGGGUGGCAGCAGUCGAGAAUAAUUCACAAUGGGGGAAACCCUGAUGGUGCAACGCCGCGUGGAGGAUGAAGGUCUUCGGAUUGUAAACUCCUGUCAUUGGGGAGUAAGACCUGGCGGUGAAUAGCCGACAGGGUUGAUAGUACCCAAAGAGGAAGGGACGGCUAACUUCGUGCCAGCAGCCGCGGUAAUACGAAGGUCCCAAGCGUUGUUCGGAAUCACUGGGCGUAAAGGGAGCGUAGGCGGCGUGGUAAGUCAGAUGUGAAAUCCCGGGGCUCAACCCCGGAACUGCAUCCGAUACUGCCAUGCUUGAGGGUUGGAGAGGUAGCUGGAAUUCUCGGUGUAGCAGUGAAAUGCGUGGAUAUCGAGAGG
RNAcentral lists this ribosomal RNA (591 nucleotides) under uncultured bacterium. RNAcentral's name for it is "bacterial SSU rRNA". It matches the Rfam family "Bacterial small subunit ribosomal RNA", at positions 112 to 704 of the family's 1533-position model. The record is from RNAcentral.